UUUUUUUUUUUGAGACAGAGUCUCGCUCUGUCUCCCAGGCUGGAGUGCAGUGGCACAAUCUCGGCUCACUGCAAGCUCCGCCUCCCGGGUUCACGCCAUUCUCCUGCCUCAGCCUCUCCGAGUAGCUGGGACUACAGGUGCCCGCCACCACGCCCGGCUAAUUUUUUUGUAUUUUUAGUAGAGACAGGGUUUCACCAUGGUUUCGAUCUCCUGACCUCGUGAUCUGCCCGCCUCGGCCUCCCAAAGUGCUGGGAUUACAAGCGUGAGCCACCGCGCGCCUGGCCUGAGACAGAGUUUCACUCUUGUCACCCAGGCUGGAGUGCAGUCGUGUGAUCUAGGCUCACUGUAACCUCUGCCUCUCGGGUUCAAGCAAUUCUCCUGCCUUAGGCUCCCAAGUAGCUGAGAUUACAGACGCCCACCACCAGGCCUGGCUAAUUUUGUAUUUUUAGUAGAGACAGGGUUUCACCAUGUUGGUCAUGCUGGUCUCGAACUCCUGACCUCAGGUGAUCCACCCACCUCGGCCUCCCAAAGUGCUGGGAUUACAGGUGUGAGCCACUGCGCCUGGCCCAGAAUUUCUUUUAAAGACUGAAUAAUAUUCCAUUAUAUGUAUAAACCACAUUUUGUUCAUCCAUUCAUUCGUUGAUGGACAUCUGGGUUGCUUCCACCUCUUGGCCAUUGAAAAUAGUGUUGCCAUCAACAUGGGUGUAUAUCUCUUCAAGACCUUUCUUUUCAGUUCUUUUGGGUAUGUACCCAAAAGUGGGAUUGCUGGAUCAUAUGGUAGCUUUAUUUAUUUAUUUAUUUAUUUAUUUAUUUAUUUAUUUAUUUUGAGAUGAAGUCUCGCUCUGUCACCCGGGCUGGAGUGCACAGCCUGGAGUGCACAGUGGCACAAUCUCAGCUCACUGCAACCUCUGCCUCCCGGGUUCAAGCGAUUCUCCUGCCUCAGCCUCCUGAGUAGCUGGGAUUACAGGCGCCCGCCACCACACCCAGCUAAUUUUGUAUCUUUAGUAGAGAUGGUGUUUCACCAUGUUGGCCAGGCUGGUCUCGAACUCCUGGCCUCAGGUGAUCCGCUGCCUCAGCCUCCCAAAGUGCUGGAAUUUGAGGUGUGAGCCACCACUCCUGGCCUUUAUUUUUAAAUUUUUGAGGAAAGGCCAUGCUUUUUUUCUGUAUCAUUUGCACUAUUUUAUACCCCCCAUCAACAGUGCACAAGGGCCCCAGUUUCUUCACAUUCUUCCCAACACUUGUCAUUUACACACUUAUUUAUUUUUAAUAGUAGCUAUCCUUCUGGGUAUAAGGAGAUAGCUCUCUGUGGUUUUGAUUUGCAUUUCUCUGAUUAGUUGGCCAUUUUCAUCUGCUUGUUGGCAAUUUGUAUACUGUCUUAGUCUAUUUUAUGCUGCUAAUGUAUAUAAGAAUAUCUGAGCCUGUGUAAUUUAUAAAAAACGAAUUUAUUCUGUUGGGCAAGAGGUUGCUGAAAAGUAAAACAAAGCAAAACAAAAAUUAUUUCUCACAGUUCUGGAGGCUGGGAAGUCCAAGAUCAAGGUGCCAGCAUCUUGCUUUUUGCUGUGUCUUCCAGAGGGGAGGAUUACUGUGUCCUCACAUGGCAGAAGAUCAGAAGAUAGUGAACCCACUCCUGAAAUCCCUUUUUAUAAUGGCAUUAAUCCGUUUGGCAGAGCCGUCAUGACUAAGUACCUCCCAAAACACACUACCUCCCAGUUGUCAUACUGGGGACUAAGUUUCCAAUACGUGAUUUGAGGAGACACAUUCAGACCAUAGCAUAUAUCAUCUCUGGAGAAAUGUCUGUUAAAAUCCACUGCCCACUUUUAAAUUGGGUUGAUUUUUUUGUUGUUGAGUUGUAGGAGUUUUUAUAUAUUUUGGAUAUUCACUCCUUAUCAGAUAUAUAAUUUACAAAUAUUUUCCCCAUUCUAUAGGUUGCCUUUUGAUUCUGUUGAUUGUGUCCUUUAAUGAAAAAACAUGUUUAAGUUUAAUGUCGUCCUAUUUGUCUAUUUUUUCUUUUGUGGCUUGUGCUUUUGGUAUCACAGGCAAGAAAUUAUUGCCAAACCCAAUGUCAUGAGGCUUUUCCCCUAUGGUUUGGGGUCUUACAUUUAGGUCUUUAAUACAUUUGGAGUUAAAUUUUGUAUAUGGUAUAAGAUAAGGAUCCAACUUCAUUCUUUGAUAUGGAUAUUCAGUUUUCCCAAUGCCAUUUGUUGAAGAGAUUGUCCUUUGCCCAUUAAGUGCUCUUGGCACCGUUGUCAAGUCUUUUGACCAUAUGCACAAGGAUUUAUUUCUAGACUCUGUAUUCUAUUCCAUUGGUAUAUUAAUCUUUUUUUUUUUCAGUUCAGCUCCUUUUUUUUUUUUUUGAGAUAGAGUCUCACUCUGUCACCCAGGCUGGAGUGCAGUAGCACAAUCUCGGCUCACUGCAACCUCUGCCCCCCAGGUUCAAGUGAUUCUUGUGCCUGGCCCAUGGUGUAUAAUUCUUUUGCCAUGCUGUUGAAUUUGGUUUGCUAGUAUUUUGUUGAAGAUUUUUACAUCAAUAUUCAUCAAGGUUAUUGGUCUGUAGUUUUUUUUUUUUUUUUUUUUUUUUUCUUGUAGUGUCUUUGUCUGGCUUUGGUAUCAUGGUAAUGCUGACCUCACAGAAUAAGCUUGGAAGCAUUCCAGCUGUCUUUUGUCAUUAUCCCACUGUACCUGUUCUUAGACUUCAUUGAACUCUUAUCCCGUGAUAAUCUACUUUUCUACAGAUUAUUCAGACUCCCUGCUGACCCCUCUGCUCUCCAUUCCUGCCUUCUCACUAGCUCCUUGACCUAUGAUCUCCUGUCUUUCUGCCACACUUAGCUCACAAAUCUCUAAUCCUGGGGGUGUCUUAUGGCAGAAAUGCUAUUUGAUUACCCAAUAUCUAUUCAAUUAUUCUUAGUUACAGAAAAUUGAUUGUAUUUGGAGUGGGAGUAUUCCCCCUACAGAUAGUUGUGGGAUAUGUGACCAAAUUCUAGCUAAUAAGAUAUAAACUGGGUCAGGGGGCGGGGAUCGGCUGUGUGGAGAGGGCCGGGGGCUCUCACACGUGAAGAAGUUGUUGUUUGGUCUUUCAGGAAGACUCUUUAAAAGGGAACAGACAGUUGAGGCAUAGUAUUUUUUUUUCCUUUCUUCCUUCUUCCUAUUUUUUGCCAGGAACCCAGAAAUAGUGGCUUGAAUCCUUGCAACCAUCUUGGGCUAUGAGGCAACCUUGGGGACAGAAGCCAGCAUCAGGGCUGGUGAAUCAGAAAGGAUCUGGCCCUUUCCCUGUUCCACCUCACUCCUGCACUGCACUGACCCAGCCUGGCCCACCUCUGGCCAGUCCUCCACAGACUGAGGUCUCUCAUGGGAGCUGAGGUCAGCCUUUACUGCUUCAUGCUGCCUCUGGGAUCAGAGGCUCUUGGGUGUGAUUUCCAAGGUCCUCUCCUCUCCUGCCUCCUCCACCAGCACUGAGCUUCCUGCAGCUCCCAGAAUGGUUUCCUCCACCCGCAAGGAAAGAGUUACUCUCCAAAAAUGUUAACCACAGCUGAAUUGAAAGAGUCUUUGGGAAAUGUGGCAAUGUUGUUUAUAUAAGUAUACCACUUUAUAAGUCUACUGGAGAUCCAAAGGGAUUUGCGUUUGUGGAAUUUGAAACAAAAGAACAAGCAGCAAAAGCAAUUGAGGUAGGUCCAGAUCCUGAAGUCAGAACAGGGAAGAGGAAGAGAAGCAGCUCUGAAGAUGCAGAAUCCCUAGCUCCCCGAUCAAAAGUAAAGAAAAUUAUUCAGAAAGACAUCAUUAAGGAAGCUUCAGAAGCUUCCAAGGAAAAUAGAGAUAUAGAAAUCUCUACUGAAGAGGAAAAGGAUACUGGAAAUCUAAAAGAGAGCUCUCUCUUGAAAACAAAAAGGAAACAUAAGAAAAAAACAGAGACAUAAAAUAGAAGAAAUUAUACCAUUAAGAGUACUAUCAAAGUUCGAGAUCCUGAGGAAGCCACUCUUCUGACCCUCUGUCCAGUUCAGAAAGAGCCGGUUCACGUAAUCCUUGUGAAAGGAAGGCGGCCUUGUGCUGUAGAAGAACUGCCCGUGGAAGUGGCCCCGUCUCCAGGAUAUUUUCGUGUUGGGAGCUGUGGCUAACUCCCAGGGGGGACAAGGAGACCAGCAGAGCCGUCCAGGCAGGAGAGGGGCCCUGUGGAGGGGCCGCCUGGGGCUUGAGGGCCAGUGCAGGCUCUUUCAGGGAAAGGAAAGGCGGGCCUGAAUCUCUGCCUUUCUGCGCCCCAGAUUCAGUCCUCAGAGAGGAGGAGGAGGAAGCCGGUGGAGGUCACAGGACCCUGGUGCUUUCCCAAGUGGCCCUGCAUGGCUGUGUCUCUCAUUUCUGGGGAUCUGUGAGGAUACACUGCUUCUCUCAUGACCCUCAUUUCCGUGGCCAUACCUGAUGGAAAGAAAUGGCAGGAGCAGACAGCCACCAUGCAGAUUGGAAAAUGUGGACGAGGAGAAAAGGGGUGUACAACACUGGACAGUUUUGGGUCUUACGUUGAAGUCUUUAAUCCAUUUUGAGUUAAUUUUUUGGCAGAGAUGCACCUUUAUGUUUUGCAU
Symphalangus syndactylus (siamang) is the source of this 4568-nucleotide long non-coding RNA. RefSeq lists it as uncharacterized. NCBI's taxonomy places the organism in Eukaryota, Metazoa, Chordata, Mammalia, Primates, Hylobatidae. The record is from RefSeq and is a predicted model, not a curated record.